UCGUUGCGGUUCUACCGUGCGCUCGAGCGGGGACAGGAGCUUGCUACUUGACCUAGCGGCGGACGGGUGAGUAAUGCUUAGGAAUCUGCCUAUUAGUGGGGGACAACAUCUCGAAAGGGAUGCUAAUACCGCAUACGUCCUACGGGAGAAAGCAGGGGACCUUCGGGCCUUGCGCUAAUAGAUGAGCCUAAGUCGGAUUAGCUAGUUGGUGGGGUAAAGGCCUACCAAGGCGACGAUCUGUAGCGGGUCUGAGAGGAUGAUCCGCCACACUGGGACUGAGACACGACCCACACUAAUACGGGAGGCAGCAGUGGGGAAUAUUGGACAAUGGGGGGAACCCUGAUCCAGCCAUGCCGCGUGUGUGAAGAAGGCCUUUUGGUUGUAAAGCACUUUAAGCGAGGAGGAGGCUACCGAGAUUAAUACUCUUGGAUAGUGGACGUUACUCGCAGAAUAAGCACCGGCUAACUCUGUGCCAGCAGCCGCGGUAAUACAGAGGGUGCAAGCGUUAAUCGGAUUUACUGGGCGUAAAGCGCGCGUAGGUGGCCAAUUAAGUCAAAUGUGAAAUCCCCGAGCUUAACUUGGGAAUUGCAUUCGAUACUGGUUGGCUAGAGUAUGGGAGAGGAUGGUAGAAUUCCAGGUGUAGCGGUGAAAUGCGUAGAGAUCUGGAGGAAUACCGAUGGCGAAGGCAGCCAUCUGGCCUAAUACUGACACUGAGGUGCGAAAGCAUGGGGAGCAAACAGGAUUAGAUACCCUGGUAGUCCAUGCCGUAAACGAUGUCUACUAGCCGUUGGGGCCUUUGAGGCUUUAGUGGCGCAGCUAACGCGAUAAGUAGACCGCCUGGGGAGUACGGUCGCAAGACUAAAACUCAAAUGAAUUGACGGGGGCCCGCACAAGCGGUGGAGCAUGUGGUUUAAUUCGAUGCAACGCGAAGAACCUUACCUGGUCUUGACAUAGUAAGAACUUUCAGAGAUGGAUUGGUGCCUUCGGGAACUUACAUACAGGUGCUGCAUGGCUGUCGUCAGCUCGUGUCGUGAGAUGUUGGGUUAAGUCCCGCAACGAGCGCAACCCUUUUCCUUAUUUGCCAGCGGGUUAAGCCGGGAACUUUAAGGAUA
Molecule: ribosomal RNA, 1112 nt
Filed under: Acinetobacter sp. haoyue-NA1
Lineage: Bacteria; Pseudomonadati; Pseudomonadota; Gammaproteobacteria; Moraxellales; Moraxellaceae
Description: bacterial SSU rRNA
Rfam family: Bacterial small subunit ribosomal RNA
Source: RNAcentral